GACGAACGCUGGCGGCGUGCCUAAUACAUGCAAGUAGAACGCACAGUUUAUACCGUAGCUUGCUACACCAUAGACUGUGAGUUGCGAACGGGUGAGUAACGCGUAGGUAACCUGCCUGGUAGCGGGGGAUAACUAUUGGAAACGAUAGCUAAUACCGCAUAAUAUUAAUUAUUGCAUGAUAAUUGAUUGAAAGAUGCAACUGCAUCACUACCAGAUGGACCUGCGUUGUAUUAGCUAGUAGGUGAGGUAACGGCUCACCUAGGCGACGAUACAUAGCCGACCUGAGAGGGUGAUCGGCCACACUGGGACUGAGACACGGCCCAGACUCCUACGGGAGGCAGCAGUAGGGAAUCUUCGGCAAUGGACGAAAGUCUGACCGAGCAACGCCGCGUGAGUAAAGAAGGUUUUCGGAUCGUAAAGCUCGGUUGUAAGAGAAGAACGGGUGUGAGAGUGGAAAGUUCACACUGUGACGGUAUCUUACCAGAAAGGGACGGCUAACUACGUG
This 505-nucleotide ribosomal RNA is filed under the name uncultured bacterium. RNAcentral describes it as "partial 16S ribosomal RNA". It matches the Rfam family "Bacterial small subunit ribosomal RNA", at positions 28 to 507 of the family's 1533-position model. The record is from RNAcentral.